RNAcentral lists this transfer RNA (74 nucleotides) under Chloroflexota bacterium. RNAcentral describes it as "Chloroflexi bacterium (sediment metagenome) tRNA-Gly". It matches the Rfam family "tRNA". Rfam says of the family: Transfer RNA (tRNA) molecules are approximately 80 nucleotides in length. Their secondary structure includes four short double-helical elements and three loops (D, anti-codon, and T loops). Lineage: Bacteria; Bacillati; Chloroflexota. The record is from RNAcentral.
GCGGGCGUCGCCAAGCGGUAAGGCAUCAGCCUUCCAAGCUGACAUCGCCGGUUCGAAUCCGGUCGCCCGCUCAA